Equus caballus (horse) is the source of this 275-nucleotide non-coding RNA. The record is from RefSeq and is a predicted model, not a curated record. Lineage: Eukaryota; Metazoa; Chordata; Mammalia; Perissodactyla; Equidae.
GGGCAGUGUACUGAAAAAGUGAGCGUGAGCGCCAGCCUAGGGCAACACGCACAUCUGGGCAACCGUGAGCACGGCAAACGGCGGGGUGUGCGCUCCCAGCGCUCCAGUUAUGCAAGACUCCUUGAGCUUCCAGAGCUGUCUUGUGCCCACGAGAAAGAUGCCGAGAGAACCACAGAGAUCCUGGCCUGACGUCAGGGGACUACAGAACUAACCCCGAUAGCUGCCCCCCUCUGGACGUCCUGUUCUGUGUCAAAAAUAAAGGCCUGCUCGUUGAA